Molecule: non-coding RNA, 162 nt
Organism: Cherax quadricarinatus
Lineage: Eukaryota; Metazoa; Arthropoda; Malacostraca; Decapoda; Parastacidae
Source: RefSeq, a predicted model, not a curated record
AACUCUUAACGGGGGAUCACUCGGCUCGUGGGUCGAUGAAGAUCGCAGCUAACUGCGUGUCGGUAUGUGAAUUGCAAGGCUACCAGAUACAUCGACAAAUCGAACGCACAUUGCGGCGGCGGCUCGCAAAAGACAGCUGCCGUCACUCCUGCACGAGGGUCU